Molecule: ribosomal RNA, 276 nt
Filed under: uncultured bacterium
Lineage: Bacteria
Description: partial 16S ribosomal RNA
Rfam family: Bacterial small subunit ribosomal RNA
Source: RNAcentral
AUACGAAGGGGGCAAGCGUUGUCCGGAAUUACUGGGCGUAAAGAGCUCGUAGGCGGCUCAGCAAGUCGGUCGUGAAAGCCCGAGGCUCAACCUCGGAACUGCGGUCGAUACUGCUGUGGCUAGAGUCCGGUAGAGGAGAGUGGAAUUCCCGGUGUAGCGGUGGAAUGCGCAGAUAUCGGGAGGAACACCAGUGGCGAAGGCGGCUCUCUGGGCCGGUACUGACGCUGAGGAGCGAAAGCGUGGGGAGCAAACAGGAUUAGAAACCCCUGGUAGUCC